CUCCUCCCAGGGUCUCAUCUGGAGAGUUUCCAUUUCUCUACCAUUCGGCUACAGGAGGGAGAGUCAAGCAGAGGCCUACCCUUUCCAUUCCUAGAUUGGCCAGUGGCUAGCGAGUGGAAGGCACUCUGCUAAAAGU
Molecule: small nucleolar RNA, 136 nt
Organism: Ornithorhynchus anatinus (platypus)
Lineage: Eukaryota; Metazoa; Chordata; Mammalia; Monotremata; Ornithorhynchidae
Source: RefSeq, a predicted model, not a curated record